This is a long non-coding RNA of Gossypium arboreum, 951 nucleotides long. RefSeq lists it as uncharacterized. The record is from RefSeq and is a predicted model, not a curated record. Lineage: Eukaryota; Viridiplantae; Streptophyta; Magnoliopsida; Malvales; Malvaceae. The transcript has 2 exons.
CUUUUAUUUGAAAAAACUAAACCGAUAGACUUGCCCAGUCAAAUCAUACUGGAAACCGUGCCAAUUAAUGUUUUCCAUUUUCACAACCCUUCCGUUUCCAAUGACUAGAAAAGACCCCAUUUCUAAUUCAUUUCAUUGUCUUUUCCUCUCCAUUAAACCCUACUUCCAACCCCUGUUCAGUCAGGUUCUCUCAGCCAUUCUUCUUCCAUCCAUUGCAAAGAGACGCCAGGGACCGUUUCAUUUAGGUAUUCUUGUUCUUCCCUUCUUAAACUCUCCGUAGUGCCAAGCGAUUUGCUUCCUUUUUAAUGUGUCCGAAGUGAAUCCAUCGAAAAUGUUCUGCAGUAAGGUGAAUAUUUCAUAUAUAUGCGGCGAUUUCUAAUUUGUCUAUAACAUAACAUGAUUCUGGCAUUUUUUGGACUAUUGAAAGCGCGUCCCCUUCUAUUAUUGUUUCUGAUAAACCCAUCUCUAUUCCUGUUUGAAUCGCACAUAAACAUGCCAGGGCCUUUGCUGCAAAAGCAGAUCCAACAUUCUCAUGCAAUUUCGAUCUUGCAAUCAAGACCCGACCCUUUCCAUUCCUUGCUACUACUCCGAAUGCCACUCGAGAUCUUUGCUUGCCAAAUGCCCCCUCAAAAUUGAUCUUUAUGGUUGUACCAGAUGGGGGUACAGAGGUCGUUAUUUCAGCAUUUCUUUCUUUUAUUUCUCUCUGUCCAAAGGGCCCAAAGAGCGCAACAACUUAAAAUAUUGCAUGCAUUUGGAUUAAAGUUUCAAAGUUUCAAGAAGAGUAAUAUUUAUAUACCAAAUAUAUCAUAAAAAAUUGAGUAAAUUACAUCAAUAUUCAUUUAACUUUCUUGUAACUGACAAGACAGUCGCUCAAGAUUUAAUUUAGUUACUUAACAUUCAAAAAAUAAUAAAACAGUCACAAGGAGUUAUAUUUUUCUGUUAUUCACUUAA